This 569-nucleotide ribosomal RNA is filed under the name uncultured bacterium. Its description in RNAcentral is "partial 16S ribosomal RNA". It matches the Rfam family "Bacterial small subunit ribosomal RNA", at positions 355 to 914 of the family's 1533-position model. The record is from RNAcentral.
UGGGGAAUAUUGCACAAUGGGCGCAAGCCUGAUGCAGCCAUGCCGCGUGUGUGAAGAAGGCCUUCGGGUUGUAAAGCACUUUCAGCGAGGAGGAAGGUGGUGAGCUUAAUACGCUCAUCAAUUGACGUUACUCGCAGAAGAAGCACCGGCUAACUCCGUGCCAGCAGCCGCGGUAAUACGGAGGGUGCAAGCGUUAAUCGGAAUUACUGGGCGUAAAGCGCACGCAGGCGGUUUGUUAGGUCAGAUGUGAAAUCCCCGGGCUCAACCUGGGAACUGCAUUUGAAACUGGCAAGCUAGAGUCUCGUAGAGGGGGGUAGAAUUCCAGGUGUAGCGGUGAAAUGCGUAGAGAUCUGGAGGAAUACCGGUGGCGAAGGCGGCCCCCUGGACGAAGACUGACGCUCAGGUGCGAAAGCGUGGGGCAGCAAACAGGAUUAGAUACCCUGGUAGUCCACGCUGUAAAACGAUGUCGAUUUGGAGGUUGUGCCCUUGAGGCGUGGCUUCCGGAGCUAACGCGUUAAAUCGACCGCCUGGGGAGUACGGCCGCAAGGUUAAAACUCAAAUGAAUUGAC